AUGAUUGAACUGUUAAGACAACAAGCACGAAGAGCGUUGUUUUCAGGAGGGGCAGCACUUGCAGGCUCACACCCGACCAAUGCUCACACCGACCACCGCUCACAUCCCGCUCACAUCCCGCUCACAACCCGCUCACACCCGACCAAUGCUCACAUCCCGCUCACACCCAACCACUGCUCACACCCCGCUCACACCAGACCAAUGCUCACAUCCCGCUCACACCGCUCACACCCGACGAAUGCUCACACCCCGCUCACACCCGAUGAAUGCUCACACCCCGCUCACACCCCGCUCACACCCGACCAAUGCUCACACCCGACCACAGCUCACACCCCGCUCACACCCCGCUCACACCCGACCAAUGCUCACACCCGACCACAGCUCACACCCCGCUCACACCCGACCAAUGCUCACACCCCGCUCACACCCGACGAAUGCUCACACCCGACCAAUGCUCACACCCGACCACAGCUCACACCCGACCACCGCUCACACCCCGCUCACACCCCCGCUCACACCCGACCACCGCUCAAACCCCGCUCACACCCCCGCUCCCACCCGACCACUGCUCACACCCCCGCUCACACCCACCCCCGCACUCACCACGGCUCCCACCCGACCACCGCUCACACCCCGCUCACACCCACCCCGCUCUCACCACGGCUCCCACCCGACCACUGCUCACACCCCGCUCACACCCACCCCGCUCUCACCACGGCUCCCACCCGACCCCCGCUCAGACCCACCCCGCUCUCACCCCGCUCCCACCCGACCAGCGCUCAGUUCAAACGGGUCAGAGAUGGACCGUUGGAGGAGGGGUCUGCUGGUCUACUGUAGACAGUCAUCACUUCAGAGGAGAAUCUGUGUGACUUGUUAAAGGUCAAGUCGUGUGUGUGAGGCAGCCUUUGUGGGGAAGCUCAGGCUAUACUGCUCCCGUCUCACAAACCACGGCGUUAGAGCUCCAAUCAGUCCCUUAUUCCCUUUGUUUGAACCCCCCAGCCCCCCCCCCGUGUCUCCGGGUGUGAGUCUGGGACAACGUGCUGUGCUGCCCAGUCUGUUUGUAAUGCUUUAAUUUUAAAAUAUUUUUAAUAAUUUGUUAACUUAAUCAAAAUGUGCUGGUAAUCACAAAGAAAUGUAAAGGCAAUUUUUUCCUCAAAUAAAUGCAUGUAAUGAUGGAUGAUGCGUCUGAAUGUUUGGACUUACUUCUGCGUUCUCAUGUGAGAGAAUGGUUGCCUGGUUAGAUUAAAGUUUCUAAGAAGAGAAAAUAAUGAUAUGAAGAACAAAGAACACCAAAUGGAGGUUGAGUUUGGUAAGCAACACAUGGGAGCCUUAGAAGUUACACAAAUAUAUAUAUAUAUAUUUAUCCCUCCCCCAACACCAUUCUAUUAAAUUAAAGCACAUUAUGUAACCGUUUCAUUCUAAUCUAUGAUUACAUUUUCCCAGUUGAGUGCGGAUGUUGAGGUCAGGGUUCACUAAGUCUGGUUCUUCAGAGAGCUGGCCCCUGGCUCUUCAGGGAGCUCGCCUCUAAAGGUGAAAUACACGACUGAACCAAAAGGUUCACGUUCCACGACAUGGCUGAUUAGGCAUUGGGUUCUUUCCCAGGGUGGGAGCCCUGCCCCCCAUGCUACUGUAAGUCUCCUGGGAAGGAAUUCCACACCUCCCUAAUCCUCCCACCCCACCCUCAGACGAGAGGAUGGUGGAGAGGCCUCCAAAGAUCUGAUGGUUCUGAUCAAACCUCAGCCGUACAGACAGAACCAAACCAUGAUGAUUCAUGAUUGUCUUUAUUUGACUUUGUACGUUUACAAUGUUCCCCUGUUCUUCAGUCGUUAGGAAAUGAGUGACAGAUGAAACCAGCCAAUCGGUGAUCAGCCAGGAGUCCUAAUGAACCACUAGCAUCGAACAGUCGGUCUUACGUUGCGUUCUCUGACAGAACCGAGCCAAUCAGAGCGUUAUUCUCGUGGGUCAGGUGUGAUCUCGAUUGGAUAAAACAAAAUUAAAAAAAUUAUUGUUUCGAAAUCUGCACUGUUUUUAUUCCAAAUCAUAAGAAAAAUGUGAUGACGUUGUUUUGUUUGGAGAUGUAAAUGUUUGUUGUGUUAGAGCCCUCAGACAGCAGCACAUGCCCAGGAAGAGCAACAGCUGAUGAAUACAAUAUCUCCCCAAGGGGAUGGUUUGCCUGAACAAUGAUCAAUGAGCACUAUUAGAUGUUCGAACCAGCUUCAAAGUCAGCAUCAUUGGGUCCUGCAUCGCCCCUCCUCCUGUUCUGUGAGUGUUUGUGUGUUCAUUCUUGUGUACAUUUGUCCCAUGGCUUGUCAACUGAAGAUGGUUAGUUCUAUUAAAUGAUGGUCUUUCUGGUGCCUACAAUUAAAAAGGAUCUUAAAAUACCCUCUCCAUACUAAUCUGUGUUCUGUUCUGUAUGGUUUAAGAUACAGCCUACUUCCAUUCUAUUGUCUCAAAAUCAUUAGAUAGUGUGUUUUUAUCUGAUGAAGUCGUUUGGCUGGGGUCAAGAAUCCCAUCCCGGAUACCACUUGCUUUAAUGUGUGGUACGCGGACCGCAGGUUCGAUUCCCCUAGAUCUCCGAUCUCAGUAGGAAGCCCACAAAGUCAGGGUGUCAUGCUGCCCUUCAGUCUUGAGCACACAACACUUCCUCCUCACGAGGAGCGUUGGGCCCUCACUUCCUUCUCAUGAGGAGGAAGUGAGGGCCCAACGCUCCUCAUUUCCUUCUGAUGAGAAGCCUUGGGCCCUCCCUUCCUUCUCACGAGGAGGAAGUGAGGAAAUAAGGAGCGUUGGUUCCCUCACUUCUAGUUCAAAAGGGGGACGAUUGGAUGGAAUCAGAAUAAGAAUGGAAGAAUUUUGCGUCCGUUCUUAAAGUGGUAGUACUGAUGUGAAAUAAGUUGUUGCAAUGAAUUCAUGUUGCCUUGAACACCUUUUUAGAAGCAGUUUGUACACAUGAACUGACAUGCGGGUUGGUGUGUGAUACAGAAGACCUUGACUGAGGUAAGACCAAGGUACAAAAUGCACCCCCAUCACUUUUUGGAGUAGAACACUGAAGUAGAUAGACAAGUUUAAAUAAAACAUUAACUUUCCCUUCUUUUAUUUUUUUAUUCUUUGAGAAAAAUUUGGAAGCAGCAGUUUAGGCCAAUUCAAUUGGCAAAUAAUUUAGAGGCAGUAGAAAUCACGUAAUUUAUAUAAACAGUUUUUACUGGUUACUCAUUAAGGAAAGCAUCCUGUGUGUUGGCUUGUGUAUGUGUUUUAGUGUAUGUGUGUGUGUGUCUGUGUCUGUGUGCGCCAGUGCGUGAAUAUUUGUGUGUGUGUGUGUGCGUGUGUGUGUGUGUGUGUGUGUGUGUGUGUGUGUGUGUGUGUGUGUGUGUGUGUGUGUGUGUGCGCGCUACUUGGGUGCAUGCAAAUCUAUCGCCCUUUUAUUGAAGUGUGUGCUUGUGUAUGUAUUCAUUGGGUUUGUUUUUGUGUGUGUGCGUGCAAGCAUAUAUGUGUGUGUGUGUGCGCGUGUGACUGUCUGUGUGUAUGUGUGUGUGUUUGUCUGUGUGUGUGUCUGUGUUUGCGACUGUCCGCACCGUCCACUGUGUGUGUUUGUUCGAGUGUGUGUGUGCGUUCGUGCAUGCGUGUGUGUCUGUGUGUGUGUGUCCGGCCAUGUGGCUUUUUGGGUAAAGCUUUGCCUCAGGAAUUUGCAAGCAUGUUGAUUUAUAAAAUUCCGUAGUGUCAACUCCUGUCAGGUCCAGUCCAGUGGACCCCAGUCCUCACCUUACAGGAGACAACGGCUGCAGCUUGUGAUGGGAAAUCCAUAUGUUGUUUCCUUUUAGUCAUCUAAGGCUGUUUCCUAUUCCUUCUAUGUCUGCCUUUCCUCAGUGUCGUCCAAAUGUUAACCUUUGUGCUUGGGUCAGCCACCAUACCUUCCUCAGAGUCAUGUGCUUGGGUCAGCCACCCUACCUUUCUCAGAGUCAUCUGAAGGUUAACCUUCUGGCUUGGGUGAAGCGCCCACCAGGGACAGAGCAUCCCCUUAUGCACUCUGUGUCUUGGGUAAACAUUACUGAUUUGAUUAUUGACAUCUGCAAUGUGGGGAGGCUGCGAAACUGUUUAAAUUGCUCUGUCUGCCACAUCCUGGCCUCACUCUGCUAGAGAGGAGUCUAAUGUAUGCGUGCACUAAAAUGGGUUAAUUGUCUACAACUAUAUUAGUGCUUUUUGCCUUUAGAAAUCCCCUGUGUUCUAGACGCAAUAUCUCUUAAGGACAUUGCCCUGGCCAUUUUGGGGGAUUGUCCGGGAUACCUAACCUGAAGAAUCUACAAAAUAUGACCUAGUCCUACGUCUGAGCACUAGGUCCCAGAGCUCUACCUUGCCACCAGGUGAAGGCAACCAGCUUACUGGGGUGAGAAGAGGGCGCUUGUUGGGAAUAGAUUUCCUUUUUACACAGGACAGAUGAGAUCACAAUACACAAUAUCCGUUUUGGUAGUGCAUAUGUUACGGAAAAGUGGAACAAUGUGGGUAAUUAUAGGUAAAAUACUACUACAAUCACAGUAUAUUAGCUACAAAAAGCUUGUGGUAAUAGUAAGGAAUAAUUUAGGUACUUGUCCGGCAAAAAUAUGUUUAUGGUAAUAGUAGAACAAGUUGGAUACUUUAAUAGCUAAAAUGCUGUUUGGGUAGGUAACUUGAAAAAGAUAAAUAGAUAAAGUGACAAAUUAGGAACACAAAGUAGUAAGAGAAUUGUAAAAUAAUAAUUCAUAGUGUGUACGGAUCUAAAUGGGAAAUAAAUCGGGAAAAUAUAAAUAACAGGUCCUGCAAAGCUAAUGUUGGAGAAACAUGGUGAAAAGGCUCUGGAGGGUUUAAAAUAUUGGCGUAAACUGGGCUUUCCUGAAAUGGGUAUUUUUUGUCAAAACGGUUUAAGAAGUUAGAGGUUGUUGAAUUCAGA
Gadus morhua (Atlantic cod) is the source of this 4918-nucleotide long non-coding RNA. The record is from Ensembl. NCBI's taxonomy places the organism in Eukaryota, Metazoa, Chordata, Actinopteri, Gadiformes, Gadidae.